GACGAACGCUGGCGGCGUGCUUAACACAUGCAAGUCGAACGAAGAGCGAUGGACGCUUGCUUCUAUCAAUCUUAGUGGCGAACGGGUGAGUAACGCGUAAUCAACCUGCCCUUCAGAGGGGGACAACAGUUGGAAACGACUUCUAAUACCGCAUACGAUCUAAUCUCGGCAUCGAGGAUAGAUGAAAGGUGGCCUCUACAUGUAAGCUAUCACUGAAGGAGGGGAUUGCGUCUGAUUAGCUAGUUGGAGGGGUAACGGCCCACCAAGGCGAUGAUCAGUAGCCGGUCUGGGAGGAUGGACGGCCACAUUGGGACUGGGACACGGCCCAGACUCCUACGGGAGGCAGCAGUGGGGAAUCUUCCGCAAUGGACGAAAGUCUGACGGAGCAACGCCGCGUGGGUGAUGACGGCCUUCGGGUUGUAAAGCUCUGUUAAUCGGGACGAAAGGCCUUCUUGCGAAUAGUGAGAAGGAUUGACGGUACCGGAAUAGAAAGCCACGGCUAACUACGUG
This 510-nucleotide ribosomal RNA is filed under the name uncultured bacterium. RNAcentral's name for it is "partial 16S ribosomal RNA". It matches the Rfam family "Bacterial small subunit ribosomal RNA", at positions 28 to 507 of the family's 1533-position model. The record is from RNAcentral.